This is a small nuclear RNA of Oryctolagus cuniculus (rabbit), 140 nucleotides long. Its record names the gene U4. It matches the Rfam family "U4 spliceosomal RNA". Rfam says of the family: U4 small nuclear RNA (U4 snRNA) is a component of the major U2-dependent spliceosome. The structure of U4 snRNA from yeast and human has been reported. The record is from Ensembl. Lineage: Eukaryota; Metazoa; Chordata; Mammalia; Lagomorpha; Leporidae.
AGCUUUGCGCAGUGGCAGUAUCGUAGCCAAUGAGGUUUAUCCAAGGCGCAAUUAUUGCUAAUUGAAAACUUUUCCCAAUACCCCGCCGUGACGACUUGAAAUAAAUAAAAGUUGUGGUUAUUUGAGAUUUGCAUCAACAA